RNAcentral lists this ribosomal RNA (253 nucleotides) under uncultured bacterium. Its description in RNAcentral is "partial 16S ribosomal RNA". It matches the Rfam family "Bacterial small subunit ribosomal RNA", at positions 524 to 776 of the family's 1533-position model. The record is from RNAcentral.
UACAGAGGUCCCAAGCGUUGUUCGGAAUCACUGGGCUUACAGGGUGCGUAGGCGGCGGGGAAAGUAGGGUGUGAAAUGCCUUGGCUCAACCAAGGCACAGCGCUCUAAACUACCUCGCUCGAGUGAGUCAGGGGUACGCGGAACUUCCGGUGGAGCGGUGAAAUGUGUUGAUAUCGGAAGGAACACCGGUGGCGAAAGCGGCGUACUGGGGCUCAACUGACGCUGAGGCACGAAAGCCAGGGGAGCGAACGGG